GAUGAACGCUGGCGGCGUGCCUAAUACAUGCGAGUCGAGCGAACAGACGAGGAGCUUGCUCCUCUGACGUUAGCGGCGGACGGGUGAGUAACACGUGGAUAACCUACCUAUAAGACUGGGAUAACUUCGGGAAACCGGAGCUAAUACCGGAUAAUAUAUUGAACCGCAUGGUUCAAUAGUGAAAGACGGUUUUGCUGUCACUUAUAGCUGGAUCCGCGCCGCAUUAGCUAGUUGGUAAGGUAACGGCUUACCAAGGCGACGAUGCGUAGCCGACCUGAGAGGGUGAUCGGCCACACUGGAACUGAGACACGGUCCAGACUCCUACGGGAGGCAGCAGUAGGGAAUCUUCCGCAAUGGGCGAAAGCCUGACGGAGCAACGCCGCGUGAGUGAUGAAGGUCUUCGGAUCGUAAAACUCUGUUAUUAGGGAAGAACAAAUGUGUAAGUAACUAUGCACGUCUUGACGGUACCUAAUCAGAAAGCCACGGCUAACUACGUG
This 497-nucleotide ribosomal RNA is filed under the name uncultured bacterium. RNAcentral describes it as "partial 16S ribosomal RNA". It matches the Rfam family "Bacterial small subunit ribosomal RNA", at positions 28 to 507 of the family's 1533-position model. The record is from RNAcentral.